GCCUGGCAUGGUGGCACAGGCCUGUAAUCCCACUACUCAGGGGGGUAGAGCAGGUGGGAUUUCUGUGAGUUGAGUUCAAGGCCAACCUGGUCUA
This 94-nucleotide small RNA is filed under the name Brugia malayi. Its description in RNAcentral is "RNA transcript Bm16729". The record is from RNAcentral. Lineage: Eukaryota; Metazoa; Nematoda; Chromadorea; Rhabditida; Onchocercidae.